UACGUAAGGUCCGAGCGUUGUCCGGAAUCAUUGGGCGUAAAGCGAGCGCAGGCGGUUUCUUAAGUCUGAUGUGAAAGCCCCCGGCUUAACCGGGGAGGGUCAUUGGAAACUGGAUCACUUGAGUGCAGAAGAGGAGAGUGGAAUUCCAUGUGUAGCGGUGAAAUGCGUAGAUAUAUGGAGGAACACCAGUGGCGAAGGCGGCUUUCUGGCUAUUAACUGACGCUGAGGCGCGAAAGCGUGGGGAGCAAACAGG
This 253-nucleotide ribosomal RNA is filed under the name uncultured bacterium. Its description in RNAcentral is "partial 16S ribosomal RNA". It matches the Rfam family "Bacterial small subunit ribosomal RNA", at positions 524 to 776 of the family's 1533-position model. The record is from RNAcentral.